RNAcentral lists this ribosomal RNA (449 nucleotides) under uncultured prokaryote. RNAcentral's name for it is "bacterial SSU rRNA". It matches the Rfam family "Bacterial small subunit ribosomal RNA", at positions 355 to 796 of the family's 1533-position model. The record is from RNAcentral.
UGGGGAAUAUUGGACAAUGGGCGCAAGCCUGAUCCAGCAAUGCCGCGUGUGUGAAGAAGGCCUGCGGGUUGUAAAGCACUUUCAGUAAGGAGGAAAAGUUGCAGGUUAAUACCCUGUGACCUUGACGUUACUUACAGAAGAAGCACCGGCUAACUCCGUGCCAGCAGCCGCGGUAAUACGGAGGGUGCGAGCGUUAAUCGGAAUUACUGGGCGUAAAGCGCGCGUAGGUGGCUUGGUAAGUCGGAUGUGAAAGCCCUGGGCUUAACCUGGGAAUUGCAUUCGAUACUGCCUGGCUAGAGUAUGGUAGAGGGUAGUGGAAUUCCUGGUGUAGCGGUGAAAUGCGUAGAUAUCAGGAGGAACAUCAGUGGCGAAGGCGGCUACCUGGACCAAUACUGACGCUGAGGUGCGAAAGCGUGGGGAGCAAACAGGAUUAGAUACCCGUGUAGUCC